CAUCAUGACAUUCGAUUUUGUUUCUGCAGGAUGAUAAAUCAGUUGCCUGCUUUCUUCUUCACUGUCAAAAAUUCAUUGAAUUGGUUCGGGUUGGAGCGCUAGAGGAAGCUGUGAAGUAUGGAAGGAUUGAGUUGGCAAAGUUUUUUGGAUUGUCUAGGUUUGAAGAUUUAGUGCAGGAUUGUGUAGCAUUGCUGGCAUAUGAACAACCACAAGAAUCUUCUGUUGGAUAUCUUCUUGAAGAAUCACAGCGAGAAGUUGUGGCUGAUAUUGUUAACGCCAUGAUCUUGUCAACAAAUCCAAACAUGAGGGAUUUGCAUGGUUGCUUGCACUCGUAUCUUGAGAGGUUACUCAGGCAAUUAACUGCAUGCUGUCUGGAGAGAAGAUCCUUGAAUGGCGAUCAAGGGGAAGCAUUCCACCUGCACCGAGUGCUUAACUACACUAAGAAGCUAAGAAGUUAGCUGAAAUGUAAAUUGGCCCUAUUCAUCCCUGUUCAGAUGGCAAAACUGAUGUUUCAUGCGAGCGAUCAGAUUGGUUUAAGGAUCUGGUAUAUCCAAUAGAGGCCUUAAAGGUUUCCCUGAGAAGAUAGGGCUCGCAGGUUAUAUCAAUGUAAGCUUUAACCACACAGACCUUACUCUGAAUACAAAAGUUUUCUUUGCAUUUUUUGCAACGAAAAUUCUUGAAGGGAGAAGGUUUUUUGUGUAUGCAAGAUUGUGGGGGUUCAGGGAUUUUCCAAUGUGCUAUUUCUGAGCAUCGAAUUCUAAUGAUUCAUAUGAGAACUCUUGGAUGUAAAUGGAUGCUUCUACCAACUGAACCAGCUAUUACUUGGGACAUUGAAAUUGAUUACCCAAUUGUUCGUUAAAUUCA
Carica papaya (papaya) is the source of this 864-nucleotide non-coding RNA. Lineage: Eukaryota; Viridiplantae; Streptophyta; Magnoliopsida; Brassicales; Caricaceae. The record is from RefSeq and is a predicted model, not a curated record.